Molecule: non-coding RNA, 506 nt
Organism: Microcebus murinus (gray mouse lemur)
Lineage: Eukaryota; Metazoa; Chordata; Mammalia; Primates; Cheirogaleidae
Source: RefSeq, a predicted model, not a curated record
CAAUCAGCAACAAGCUUUAACAUCCAAUCAGCAACAGUGGGAUUCAAAAAUUACCCAAUCAGGAUUACACGAGCAGCGCAGCUGGAAGCAGGCUGUGGCACUACCCUGGUCCCCCGGGUGUACUACCGCGGGGUUGGCCCCAGCAGCAUGCCCUCCAACCGGCCCACACAGCGCCCGCCCCUCGGGGAUGUGGCCACGUCCUGGCGCCUGAUGUUUUCUGCCACUGCCAAGAAUCAACCUGGGACUGAAACCGCCUUAGUGCAAGUCAUAUGGAAGGAGAUUGCUGGCCCCAUGACCCAGGAAAAGUAAGGGCAAUACAUCUGAUGAUGUAAGUCUCCUGGCAUUCUCACAUUCAUUUCAUUGCUUUCAACUGACCCCUACUGAAAAUGAGCUUCAACUCUAAGACACUCUUCCUUCUUCUGCUCCAAAGCAAUCUCUAGUGUCUUAAGCCGUGAGUCCUUUUUCAGUCCAGAAGAAGCCAGGGAAGAAGCAUGCUCUUUCAGGUC